Molecule: long non-coding RNA, 1041 nt
Filed under: Ananas comosus (pineapple)
Lineage: Eukaryota; Viridiplantae; Streptophyta; Magnoliopsida; Poales; Bromeliaceae
Description: long non-coding RNA (ACOM_LNC026697)
Source: RNAcentral
CUUUUCAGAAAAAAAAAAAUUUCUUUCAACAACUAUUCCGUUUCAAAUUUCUAAAACACGUGAUAUAGGUACUCUAAAAAUAUAAAUAAUUAAUUAAUGAUAAUGAUGGCAUGGUGUGAUUGUUAAGCCAAACUCUUUUUUAUUUUAUACUGAAAAAUUAUUUAAGACAGUAUUUUUUUUAGAGAGAAAAAGAUAGCAUGGUAUUUAUUUUUGUUUGAAAAUAUAAAAGAAUUAUACUUCGAACUUGAAACAUCGGAUAUCAACCGGCAAGUCCUUUGCUACUUACAUUAGGAACGGUUGAUUUUAAGGUAAUGUUUUGAUUUGAGUAUAAGGGGCUGUUUGGUUGCAUGUAUUUUCAACUGCAGUGCAGUAGAAAAUGCAUGCAUCAAUUAAAAUUUUGUUUGGUUUGAUGUAAUUAGGCCCAAUUAUUACAGUUGCAUCUGGACGAGAAGACCCAAUUGGCUACAGUACCAACUGCAGCAGUUGGGCAGGAGUUGGCUCACCCAUUAAAUAAAUAAAUAAAGUGUGAAUUUUUUUCAUACCCUUUUUUUUUUCUUUUGUUCUUCGAAGAAUGCAUAUUCAUGAAAUCUGUUAGGAUUUAAUAAUAUCUGUUAGGGUCAAUAAAUUUUUUUUCAUAUUCUUCUUUUUUUUUCCAGUUUACUAGUUUAAUAAUGUUUUAAUUUUUGUUUUGACCAAAUCUGUAAUAUAUUUGCAUUUAAAAUUUAUUAAAUUCAUACAUAAGUUUAUAAUAUAUAAAUUAUAUAUAGAUAUAAAAGUCUUAAUUAAUAAUUAAAAUAUGAUUACGUUAUGUUCGGAAGAGAUAAUCUCACCUUUCUAUUUAAAAGCUGAUAGAAUUUAUAAAUACAAAUUUCAAUUGCAGCCUACCAAACAGAAAAAAUAUAACUGUAGCAGUUGCAAUUGUAUAAAACCAAACAGACUAGGUAUAGUUAUGACUGUAUUAUUUACAACUGUAUGUAUUUUCAAUUAUAUUAUUUUUAUAAUUACAUCCAAUCAAAUAGUCCCUAAGUGGAGAACAGAGGG